AUUGAACGCUGGCGGAAUGCUUUACACAUGCAAGUCGAACGGCAGCACGGAGAGCUUGCUCUCUGGUGGCGAGUGGCGAACGGGUGAGUAAUAUAUCGGAACGUGUCCAAUAAUGGGGGAUAACGAGUCGAAAGAUUCGCUAAUACCGCAUACGCCCUACGGGGGAAAGCAGGGGAUCGUAAGACCUUGUGUUAAUGGAGCGGCCGAUAUCUGAUUAGCUAGUUGGUGAGGUAAAGGCUCACCAAGGCGACGAUCAGUAGCUGGUUUGAGAGAACGACCAGCCACACUGGAACUGAGACACGGUCCAGACUCCUACGGGAGGCAGCAGUGGGAAAUUUUGGACAAUGGGGGCAACCCUGAUCCAGCCAUUCCGCGUGAGUGAAGAAGGCCUUCGGGUUGUAAAGCUCUUUCGCAAGGGAAGAAAACUUAUGAUCGAAUAAAUCAUGAGGUUGACGGUACCUUGAUAAGAAGCACCGGCUAACUACGUGCCAGCCGCCGCCGUAA
RNAcentral lists this ribosomal RNA (504 nucleotides) under uncultured bacterium. Its description in RNAcentral is "partial 16S ribosomal RNA". It matches the Rfam family "Bacterial small subunit ribosomal RNA", at positions 30 to 523 of the family's 1533-position model. The record is from RNAcentral.